GCCACAUAUUAGGGCCAACGUGUCCGUCCUGCCCUCUCAAGGCUCUCUAUGAGCUAUUUAAAUGAGUCUCUGGGUAAAUAUUUGGAGAUCCGUAGUUUGUCAAUAAUGAAAUAACAGAUUAAUGGGCUCAGCCGGUGAUCCCACAGGGAGCUUGAUAACCAUCAGGUACUUUUCAUCUGAUCCAAUUACACAGAGAAAUAUCUGAAUAUUCAGAGCCCACUCCAGUCCCCUAUUCAUGUCAUUAUAGCCCCCCUCCUAUUAUUCAUUGAUAGGGAUGGAGGGGAGGUAGGGUCUGACC
Pelobates cultripes (western spadefoot toad) is the source of this 298-nucleotide non-coding RNA. NCBI's taxonomy places the organism in Eukaryota, Metazoa, Chordata, Amphibia, Anura, Pelobatidae. The record is from the annotation of a GenBank genome assembly.